UCCCAAAGGCUUCUCGGCAUGGGAUGUAACGUGACCUCCCAAUCCAGAGCUACGAGACGCUAGACCGAGUCCCCUUGCAGCUACGGCUGCUCUUCACCGGGCUUCGGUCAAUGCGCUUGAUCCGACAGUUCCAUAAGACCUGCAGCAAGCUGCAUUGCCGUCCCGUUUCGUAGCGAACCUAUUAGUACAUGCAACACUAUAAAAA
This 205-nucleotide long non-coding RNA is filed under the name Manihot esculenta (cassava). RNAcentral's name for it is "long non-coding RNA (MESC_LNC000120)". The record is from RNAcentral. Lineage: Eukaryota; Viridiplantae; Streptophyta; Magnoliopsida; Malpighiales; Euphorbiaceae.